AUGGAGCCCCCGGGCAGGGGAGGGGGCCGGGUGUCCUUUGCUGCGGGUACGGGAACGAUGGAUAGGGAAGGAUGGUGGGGUGAGGGUGUUCCUGCCCCAUUCCUGCCCCAAUCCCUGUCCUCACCCCUGCCUGAAUCCCUGCUUGAAUCCCUCCCCUCGUCCUUGUCCGAAUCCCUGCCUUCAUCCUUGUCCUCAUCCCUGCCUGGAUCCCUGCCUGAAUCCCUUCCCUCAUUCCUUCCCAAAUCCCCGCCCGAAUCCCUGCUGCUGGGAAGGGAGGAUUUUGCCUGUUUCCCCAACAAUUCCCACGGAAUCCGGCUGCAGAGGCAGCUCCGCAGCCGUUCCCGUCAGCCGGGGCAUCCUUCAACCCCUGCACCCCGAAGGUCCGGGGGUGCUGCGAUCCCCCCUGGGCACUGGGGGAUUUUCCCUUUGCCGAUCCCCAGCAUUCCAGAGGGUGUCCAACGGAUCCCCACCAGCCCGGGGGAACUUCCCCGAGGCUUUCCUUGGCUUAAAACUUCCCAGAAACUGUUGGGAAGAGGGGGGAAAAGGCUUCGGGGGACAGAGGGGGGCUCCCGGUGCUCCCCUUUUCUCUCCGAUGUCCUGGGAGGAUGGGGCUCCAUGGAAAACUCUGCCUUGGGAAGAGCAGGGAAUCCCAUGGAACGCCCAGACUGGAUCCAGCACUGUCCAGAGAGGCUGUGGGGACCCCAAAUCCCAGAGAACGGCUUAGCUGGGAGACAAUUCCAGCAGCUUGGAUCUGACCUCCUGCCUCCCUCUGUUCCUCCUCUCCGCACCCGACCCUGUGACAGCUCCCGGGAUGGCUCCAACGUUUGUCCCCAGUGCCCAGGGACCCCCUGUGCCCCUCGGGGAGGUCCCCCUGGGCACGGCGCUGCUUCCAUCCCGGGCACUCCGGGAUGUUUCCUUUUUUUCCAGAUUAACUUCCAACCUGACGGAAAUCCUUCAUUUGCACCUCAAAGCGCUUUGCCGCAAAUCCUCCGGAGCCGGCGCUCGGGAUUUUUCCUGGGCCCUGUUCACGGCACAUCCCGUCCCUGCGGGUCCCUCCUGCCCUUCCCCGCUGCUGUCCCACCCAAAGGUGACAUUCCGGGAGCGGUUUUCCAUCCCUAG
RNAcentral lists this long non-coding RNA (1119 nucleotides) under Corvus moneduloides (New Caledonian crow). RNAcentral describes it as "lncRNA (ENSCMUG00000017707.1)". Lineage: Eukaryota; Metazoa; Chordata; Aves; Passeriformes; Corvidae. The record is from RNAcentral.